Molecule: non-coding RNA, 73 nt
Organism: Physeter macrocephalus (sperm whale)
Lineage: Eukaryota; Metazoa; Chordata; Mammalia; Artiodactyla; Physeteridae
Source: the annotation of a RefSeq genome assembly
UUCCUGGUGGUCCAGUGGUUUGGACUUGGCACUUACAUUGCCAGGGGCCCAGGUUCAAUCCCUGGUCAGGGAA